Molecule: ribosomal RNA, 907 nt
Filed under: Aureobasidium sp.
Lineage: Eukaryota; Fungi; Ascomycota; Dothideomycetes; Dothideales; Saccotheciaceae
Description: partial large subunit ribosomal RNA
Rfam family: Eukaryotic large subunit ribosomal RNA
Source: RNAcentral
CAUAUCAAUAAGCGGAGGAAAAGAAACCAACAGGGAUUGCCCUAGUAACGGCGAGUGAAGCGGCAACAGCUCAAAUUUGAAAGCUAGCCUUCGGGUUCGCAUUGUAAUUUGUAGAGGAUGAUUUGGGGAAGCCGCCUGUCUAAGUUCCUUGGAACAGGACGUCAUAGAGGGUGAGAAUCCCGUAUGUGACAGGAAAUGGCACCCUAUGUAAAUCUCCUUCGACGAGUCGAGUUGUUUGGGAAUGCAGCUCUAAAUGGGAGGUAAAUUUCUUCUAAAGCUAAAUAUUGGCGAGAGACCGAUAGCGCACAAGUAGAGUGAUCGAAAGAUGAAAAGCACUUUGGAAAGAGAGUUAAAAAGCACGUGAAAUUGUUGAAAGGGAAGCGCUUGCAAUCAGACUUGUUUAAACUGUUCGGCCGGUCUUCUGACCGGUUUACUCAGUUUGGACAGGCCAGCAUCAGUUUCGGCGGCCGGAUAAAGGCUCUGGGAAUGUGGCCUCCACUUCGGUGGAGGUGUUAUAGCCCAGGGUGUAAUACGGCCAGCCGGGACUGAGGUCCGCGCUUCGGCUAGGAUGCUGGCGUAAUGGUUGUAAGCGACCCGUCUUGAAACACGGACCAAGGAGUCUAACAUCUAUGCGAGUGUUCGGGUGUCAAACCCCUGCGCGUAAUGAAAGUGAACGGAGGUGGGAACCCGCAAGGGUGCACCAUCGACCGAUCCUGAUGUCUUCGGAUGGAUUUGAGUAAGAGCAUAGCUGUUGGGACCCGAAAGAUGGUGAACUAUGCCUGAAUAGGGUGAAGCCAGAGGAAACUCUGGUGGAGGCUCGCAGCGGUUCUGACGUGCAAAUCGAUCGUCAAAUUUGGGUAUAGGGGCGAAAGACUAAUCGAACCAUCUAGUAGCUGGUUCCUGCCGA